This 63-nucleotide transfer RNA is filed under the name Eurydice pulchra. Its description in RNAcentral is "tRNA-Val". It matches the Rfam family "tRNA". Rfam says of the family: Transfer RNA (tRNA) molecules are approximately 80 nucleotides in length. Their secondary structure includes four short double-helical elements and three loops (D, anti-codon, and T loops). Lineage: Eukaryota; Metazoa; Arthropoda; Malacostraca; Isopoda; Cirolanidae. The record is from RNAcentral.
GGGGCUGUAGUUUAAGUUAAACCGCUGGGUUUACAUCCCUGAAAUGCGCUACCGCCGGUCCCU